GGGCUGUAAACUGACUCGGGCUG
This 23-nucleotide non-coding RNA is filed under the name Arabidopsis thaliana (thale cress). Lineage: Eukaryota; Viridiplantae; Streptophyta; Magnoliopsida; Brassicales; Brassicaceae. The record is from RNAcentral.